AUACUUACCUGGCACAGGAGAUACCUGAUCACAAAGGCGGUUUUCCCCAGGGCGGGCUCACCAUUGCCCCGGUGGUGCUGCCCCCUGCGAUUAACCCAAAUGUGGUUAACUCGAGUGGAAAUUUUUGUUAGCAGGGGCCUGCGUUCGCGCUAUCCCCUU
Molecule: non-coding RNA, 159 nt
Organism: Cherax quadricarinatus
Lineage: Eukaryota; Metazoa; Arthropoda; Malacostraca; Decapoda; Parastacidae
Source: RefSeq, a predicted model, not a curated record